Molecule: ribosomal RNA, 389 nt
Filed under: uncultured bacterium
Lineage: Bacteria
Description: bacterial SSU rRNA
Rfam family: Bacterial small subunit ribosomal RNA
Source: RNAcentral
GACGAACGCUGGCGGCGUGCUUAACACAUGCAAGUCGAGCGGUAAGGCCCUCUCGGGGGUACACGAGCGGCGAACGGGUGAGUAACACGUGGGUGACCUGCCCUUAGCUCUGGGAUAAGCCUGGGAAACUGGGUCUAAUACCGGAUAUGACUCCAUGACGCAUGUUGUGGGGUGGAAAGCCUUGUGCGGCUAGGGAUGGGCCCGCGGCCUAUCAGCUUGUUGGUGGGGUGAUGGCCACCAAGGCGACGACGGGUAGCCGGCCUGAGAGGGCGACCGGCCACACUGGGGACUGAGACACGGCCCAGACUCCUACGGGAGGCAGCAGUGGGGAAUCUUGCGCAAUGGGCGAAAGCCUGACGCAGCGACGCCGCGUGAGGGAUGACGGCCUC